Molecule: long non-coding RNA, 538 nt
Organism: Coregonus clupeaformis (lake whitefish)
Lineage: Eukaryota; Metazoa; Chordata; Actinopteri; Salmoniformes; Salmonidae
Exons: 3
Source: RefSeq, a predicted model, not a curated record
ACGUGACAUAUCCUGAUUUAGUUUGAGCACACUUUCCAACUAUUCAAGAUAGAUUUACUUGAAUACACAUAAUACAUGUCAUCAUAGUCAACUAUAACUAAGCUUUGGAUAAAAGUGUCUGCUAAAUGGCAUAUUAUUUAUUUAUUAUUAUAAAAUCCCCCUAAAUCCCUCAAAUAAAAACGUAAUUUAGCAUCAAUUAGCCAGAUAAGCUAAUGUUAGCAAAUUAGCUGAAAGGAAUGAAAAGGACUUUUGCCACAUGGAAAAUUCAGAACUGGAAGAAGUGCAAGAGAAAUGAAGAUGUUUUCUAGUUGAGGAGCACAUGGGCAAUUGAAGAGCAUGUCAAAACGAAGAGCCAGACUUAGUCCUGAGGCUGAGGCUAUUCAUUUUAUUAUUUCUGGAAGUGACAAGCCUUGUAUAAAGUCAAAUGGAUCAAUGACUAUAAAGGACGUGGUGUAUUUGCCUCAGCACCAAUUGAAAAGGGAUCCUUUGUCCUCGAGUACCGUGGGGAGUUUAUAUCGCAAUAUGAACGGGACAAGAG